GCAUGAAGUCGGAAUUGCUAGUAAUCGCGGAUCAGCAUGCCGCGGUGAAUACGUUCCCGGGCCUUGUACACACCGCCCGUCACACCAUGGGAGCCGGGGGUACCUGAAGUGCGUAACCGCGAGGAGCGCCCUAGGGUAAAACUGGUGACUGGGGCUAAGUCGUAACAAGGUACC
RNAcentral lists this ribosomal RNA (174 nucleotides) under uncultured bacterium. RNAcentral's name for it is "partial 16S ribosomal RNA". It matches the Rfam family "Bacterial small subunit ribosomal RNA", at positions 1318 to 1500 of the family's 1533-position model. The record is from RNAcentral.